CUAUUCCUCUGUUCUUCACCAUACUAUUCCUCUGUUCUUCACCAUACUAUUCCUCUGUUCUUCACCAUACUAUUCCUCUGUUCUUCACCAUACUCUCUCCAGAACACUGAUGCCUUUCUGUAGUGUUUGGGUACUUCGUUAUAUUUCAGUCCACAUUAAUAACCCUUUACAGUUCAUAGGUCAACUACAUGCUAGCUGCAUCUGGACUCCACCUUCAGUCCAGUAGACGGUGGUUUAUUACUUGCUUAGAGAAGAGCAAAUAUGUUCUAAACCAGGGGUCUGUUCAGGAGUAACAUAUUUUUUCCAAUUGAAAAAAUGUACUAAAUUAACUUGGCUAUUUAGAGAGCAAAUUUUUGUUUUCCAUUUGUGCUUUCUGAACGUAACCCAACCCAGGGUUGUUCUCUCUGUGGAUACACAGUGUUGCAGGUAGAAAUAGCAUCUAUAUAUCACAUUUCACAAGGAAAAUAGAAUGUCUUCUCUAUUAGAUGUAAAAUCUAUCUGUAACAUUGUUUCUCUGUUCCCUGUCUUCUCUAUUAGAUGUAAAAUCUAUCUGUAACAUUGUUUCUCUGUUCCCUGUCUUCUCUAUUAGAUGUAAUAUAUAUCUGUAACAUUGUUUCUCUGUUCCCUGUCUUCUCUAUAGAUUGUUUCUCCGUUCCCUGUCUUCUCUAUAGAUUGUUUCUCUGUUCCCUGUCUUCUCUAUUAGAUGUAAUAUAUAUCUGUAACAUUGUUUCUCUGUUCCCUGUCUUCUCUAUAGAUUGUUUCUCCGUUCCCUGUCUAAUAUGUGCCUCCCAAAUGGCACCCAUAGGGCUCUGGCUACAGGUUGUGCACUACAUAGGGAAUAGGGCCCUGGUUAAAGUAGUGCACUACAUAGGGAAUAGGGCUCUGGCUAAAGAUUGUGCACUACAUAGGGAAUAGGGCCCUGGUUAAAGUAGUGCACUACAUAGGGAAUAGGGCUCUGGCUAAAGGUUGUGCACUACAUAGGGAAUAGGGCCCUGGUUAAAGUAGUGCACUACUUAGGGAAUAGGGCUCUGGCUAAAUGUUGUGCACUACAUAGGGAAUAGGGCUCUGGUUAAAAUUGUGCACUACAUAGGGAAUAGGGCUCUGGUUAAAGUAGUGCACUACAUAGGGAAUAGGGCUCUGGCUAAAGGUUGUGCACUACAUAGGGAAUAGGGCCCUGGUUAAAGUAGUGCACUACUUAGGGAAUAGGGCUCUGGCUAAAUGUUGUGCACUACAUCGGGAAUAGGACUCUGGUUAAAGUAGUGCACUUCAUAGGGAAUUGGGCCCCGUUUAAAGUAGUGCACUACAUCGGGAAUAGGGCUCUGGUUAAAGUAGUGCACUACAUAGGGAAUAGGGUUCUGGUUAAAGUAGUGCACUGCAUAGGGAAUAGGGUGCCAUUUGGGAUGCACCCCUGGACUAACUAACUCAGAGGUCCUGAACAGUCAUUCUGAUUCCCAUGUAAAGUAGCCUUUUGAGUGACCAAAACAUCACCCAUAAUUAUUAUUUUUUUCUCCUCUAGAAAUGCUCUGAAUGUUAAAAAAAAAUGUAAAAGUAUUUUUUUAUUUUAUGUCAAACUACCAGGAAGUCUGAAAAGACAGAUUGUGCGGGGAGAUCACCUGACGGUUCUUUGGAAACGGCCAUGUCAAGCAACAUGGACGCAGUGUUGCCAUGUUGCAGUGACAUUAUCUCAAGCAAAUUGCGUGCAACUUCCAUUCCUUUCAGACAUCACAUCAUGGUUUCAGAAAUAUAUAUAUAUUUAUUUAUUUAUUGUCAGCACCAUUUUAUAUAGCUAUCUUGGACAAUUUGAUUUGAAACGACAGGGUGGAGUCUGGGUAAACGUCAUGCAUUUUAUAUAUGUUGACUGCCAGACAAUGGUCAUAUAUCAUGACUAUGUCAAGAAGUUUGCAACGUUAAUGUAACGACAUGGCCUUUGGUGUAUUAAAAUAAGAGUUUAUUUUUGUGACCUCCUCCUGAGUCCAAGUGUUUGACAAGUGGGGGAGGGGUAUCAGUAACUUUAUGAUCCAACUUGAUCAAUGUAGAAGCAACAGUCAUUUAUCAUACAUUGGUCUUCCUACUUUGAUCUGGUUUCAACCAAAUAUCAUGAAACUUCAUGAAGAAAAAAACAAUUUUGACUGUUCAGGACCUUUAACAGAACAUGGUUUGGUGACAGGGUCUUAUUUGUAUGCUAUGUAAAUAAUACCAUUUUAUUUAUUUGAAAAGUUCAACAAUAUAUUUAUCUACAUCUGAACAAUAACAAUACAAGUCAGUGUACAUAUACGCGGAUCAACUUCCCGUCACAUGACUCUGUGGGGAUGAUGUCACUUCCUCUGUAACAGUGUCUUCUGGGUACUGUAGUACUUCACGUGUCACCGCAGUAGCUACCUGGGAAAUGCGAUGCGUUGAGUUCAACUCCUCUCCCCAGUGCACCAGUGUGUUAAAAUUGGUUGUGUAUGAUAUCUAAACCUCUGUUCAACUACAGUUUAUUAAAAUCAAUGCUGUAAAACAUACAAGCUGUUGGCCUGCGUGUAUUCAAUAGCUCUCCAUGUGUUUAUGCUAGAGAUUUAUCGUGCCAUGUCAUUGCUGCAGCCCAAUCCCCUCUUUCCGCCAAAA
Molecule: long non-coding RNA, 2607 nt
Organism: Oncorhynchus tshawytscha (Chinook salmon)
Lineage: Eukaryota; Metazoa; Chordata; Actinopteri; Salmoniformes; Salmonidae
Source: Ensembl